RNAcentral lists this ribosomal RNA (497 nucleotides) under uncultured bacterium. RNAcentral's name for it is "partial 16S ribosomal RNA". It matches the Rfam family "Bacterial small subunit ribosomal RNA", at positions 28 to 507 of the family's 1533-position model. The record is from RNAcentral.
GAUGAACGCUGGCGGCGUGCCUAAUACAUGCAAGUCGAGCGAACGGACGAGAAGCUUGCUUCUCUGAUGUUAGCGGCGGACGGGUGAGUAACACGUGGAUAACCUACCUAUAAGACUGGGAUAACUUCGGGAAACCGGAGCUAAUACCGGAUAAUAUUUUGAACCGCAUGGUUCAAAAGUGAAAGACGGUCUUGCUGUCACUUAUAGAUGGAUCCGCGCUGCAUUAGCUAGUUGGUAAGGUAACGGCUUACCAAGGCAACGAUGCAUAGCCGACCUGAGAGGCUGAUCGGCCACACUGGAGCUGAGCCACGGUCCAGGCUCCUACGGGAGGCAGCAGUAGGGAAUCUUCCGCAAUAGGCGAGAGCCUGACGGAGCAACGCCGCGUGAGUGAUGAAGGUCUUCGGAUCGUAAAACUCUGUUAUUAGGGAAGAACAUAUGUGUAAGUAACUGUGCACAUCUUGACGGUACCUAAUCAGAAAGCCACGGCUAACUACGUG